RNAcentral lists this long non-coding RNA (230 nucleotides) under Lathyrus oleraceus (garden pea). RNAcentral's name for it is "Pisum sativum (pea) long non-coding RNA (PSAT_LNC006718)". The record is from RNAcentral. Lineage: Eukaryota; Viridiplantae; Streptophyta; Magnoliopsida; Fabales; Fabaceae.
UUUUUUCUAUAUUUCUUUUCAUUUUCUGUUUUUCCUUUUAUUCCUUUUAUUUUAUUUUAUUCAUAGAAAUUUCAUUUUUUAUCCAAAAAAUAUGGGACUUUCACCAAAAAUCUUUAAAUAUUUUCUUCUUCCAUAUUUUGAAGUAAAAUCAUUUUUGGGAUAAAUUUUGGUAUUAUUUGUGAAUUAAAUGAUUUUUGACUUGUUUUUAACUAUUUUUAAAUACUAAUGAC